UAUAACCGGCGAUUUCCGAAUGGGGAAACCCAGUGUGAUUCGUCACACUAUCAUUAACUGAAUCCAUAGGUUAAUGAGGCGAACCGGGGGAACUGAAACAUCUAAGUACCCCGAGGAAAAGAAAUCAACCGAGAUUCCCCCAGUAGCGGCGAGCGAACGGGGAGCAGCCCAGAGCCUGAAUCAGUGUGUGUGUUAGUGGAAGCGUCUGGAAAGGCGCGCGAUACAGGGUGACAGCCCCGUACACAAAAAUGCACAUACUGUGAGCUCGAUGAGUAGGGCGGGACACGUGGUAUCCUGUCUGAAUAUGGGGGGACCAUCCUCCAAGGCUAAAUACUCCUGACUGACCGAUAGUGAACCAGUACCGUGAGGGAAAGGCGAAAAGAACCCCGGCGAGGGGAGUGAAAAAGAACCUGAAACCGUGUACGUACAAGCAGUGGGAGCCUCUUUAUGGGGUGACUGCGUACCUUUUGUAUAAUGGGUCAGCGACUUAUAUUCUGUAGCAAGGUUAACCGAAUAGGGGAGCCGAAGGGAAACCGAGUCUUAACUGGGCGUUAAGUUGCAGGGUAUAGACCCGAAACCCGGUGAUCUAGCCAUGGGCAGGUUGAAGGUUGGGUAACACUAACUGGAGGACCGAACCGACUAAUGUUGAAAAAUUAGCGGAUGACUUGUGGCUGGGGGUGAAAGGCCAAUCAAACCGGGAGAUAGCUGGUUCUCCCCGAAAGCUAUUUAGGUAGCGCCUCGUGAAUUCAUCUCCGGGGGUAGAGCACUGUUUCGGCAAGGGGGUCAUCCCGACUUACCAACCCGAUGCAAACUGCGAAUACCGGAGAAUGUUAUCACGGGAGACACACGGCGGGUGCUAACGUCCGUCGUGAAGAGGGAAACAACCCAGACCGCCAGCUAAGGUCCCAAAGUCAUGGUUAAGUGGGAAACGAUGUGGGAAGGCCCAGACAGCCAGGAUGUUGGCUUAGAAGCAGCCAUCAUUUAAAGAAAGCGUAAUAGCUCACUGGUCGAGUCGGCCUGCGCGGAAGAUGUAACGGGGCUAAACCAUGCACCGAAGCUGCGGCAGCGACACUAUGUGUUGUUGGGUAGGGGAGCGUUCUGUAA
This 1104-nucleotide ribosomal RNA is filed under the name Escherichia coli. Its description in RNAcentral is "partial 23S ribosomal RNA". It matches the Rfam family "Bacterial large subunit ribosomal RNA", at positions 99 to 1246 of the family's 2925-position model. Lineage: Bacteria; Pseudomonadati; Pseudomonadota; Gammaproteobacteria; Enterobacterales; Enterobacteriaceae. The record is from RNAcentral.